Molecule: transfer RNA, 62 nt
Filed under: Spirobolus bungii
Lineage: Eukaryota; Metazoa; Arthropoda; Diplopoda; Spirobolida; Spirobolidae
Also listed under: 1 other name
Description: tRNA-Trp
Source: RNAcentral
AAAGCUUUAAGUUAUCUAAACUAUUAACCUUCAAAGUUAAAAAUAAGCACCCUUAAGCUUUA